RNAcentral lists this long non-coding RNA (1790 nucleotides) under Homo sapiens (human). Its description in RNAcentral is "HSALNT0344540". The record is from RNAcentral. Lineage: Eukaryota; Metazoa; Chordata; Mammalia; Primates; Hominidae.
GAGUUUGGCCUUUUCUUCAGCACUGGGAAUUGUGAUCCAAAGCUUUUCCUGAUGAAGCACAAAGUUGGAGAAAAAAAAGCAAACUAAACAACAACAAUGAAACAGAACAGAGUUAAUCUGCUGUAGCUCAAGAGAGGACGUAGCUGCCCCCACUCCGCAUCCCUGGGCUCGGGUUUGCCUUGCUGACCUCUGCUGCCACCUGGUGCCACACAGAGAAACUGAGGAGAAACCACAUCAGUCUCCUUCAGCCUCAGCUUCACAUCUGUGGGUCAAGUAACCCUUUCAGAAGCUGAAUAAUGUGGGAAAGCUUUCCUCUCAGGAAAAUGCACACAUCCAACUUUGAGAAGAUGCCCUUGGGGGUGCUUCAAGGAUCCUAGAUAAAGAACCCCCUUUCCCGAACAUCCAAGAACCUAAGUUUUUUUUUUUUUUUUUGAGAAAGUCUCGCUCUCUCUCCCAGUCUGGAGUGCAGUGGCGUGAUCUUGGCUCACUGCAAGCUCCACCUCCCAGGUUCACGCCAUUCUCCUGCCUCAGCCUCCCGAGUAGCUGGGGCUACAGGCACCUGCCACCAAACCCGGCUAAUUUUUUUGUAUUUUUAGUAGAGACGGGGUUUCACCGUGUUAGCCAGGAUCGUCUUGAUCUCCUGACCUUGUGAUCCACCCGCCUCGGCCUCCCAAAUUGCUGGGAUUACAGAUGUGAGCCACCGCACCUGGUCCAAGAACCCAAGUUUUAGAUCUAGAGUGAUGUCAGCAUGACAUUGAUUUCCUGAGGCCCAGGGGCGAAGGAGCUGAGGACAGCAGAGGGGUGAAGGAACUCAGCUACAGACAGCAGCAGCUGAUGCACAGGGCUCCCAGCGCCUGAAGUCACCCGGAAUUGGGAAGUGCUCAGAAGCUUACAAAGCUGCCUCGAGGAACAGUAAGAGGACCUUGUGCAUGAAUAAUUUGUUUCCACACUGCAGAGUGGGUAAUAAGCAGAUUAGUAAAAACAAUUCUGCUUCACUUCAAUAACAGCCUCCUCCAACUCAUUUUUUCUCAACAAACUUAUUUUUGCAGCAGAAGAAUCCCAGACUUCUUAGAGAACCCAGUGACUUUUUGCACCUUAAAUCUGUGAAAUCCUCAUGCUUUCUUCUGCCGUAUCCAUCGUUCAAACAAACAUGAGGCAAAGCUAGACACAUUCCUGAAGGAACCCAAGAAAUUCCUCUCUUUCUCUCUCUGGAAUGAAAUGAAUUCUCUAGACCACCAGUUCUAACCUUCAAAAACCAAACCUGUUUGUGAGAUCUCCUUCAAAUACUACUGUAGACCCCAGUGUUUAUUCAUUAAAUUUUUUAAAUAUUUGUUUUAUUUGGAAUCAAAGUAUUUGUAAUUUUAGUAUUUGUAUUAAUAUAAGGGAGAAAUGUUUAAAUCUGUCUAUGCCACAUGUGCCUUCGGCUUAUUGCCCAAUUAAUUGUAGCCUCAGGCUAAACUUUGGUUUCUGUCUUUAAUUUUUGUCGGAAGAAAUAUAACUGGUCUCAAAACAUCUGCUUUUAUUGUAGGGACUCGUGCUGCCAUCUCCAUUCCUCUCUCUUUUCUUGCAAUCUGGGUGGAAGUUCUUUAAUAUGAACAUUUCAACCACCUUCACUCUACCAUGUCCACUAUCAGCACAUUCAAACGUAUCCAGCCAAGGGUAUCAUCUUAGGCCAGGGAUUUUUUAGGAAUCUAUUUUGCUGUGAUGCACCUGGUACCCCUUUGACUCACUUUAUCACCCCAGGGUUCUUUUCAUUUUAGAAGCCCAAGAGGGCAGAAAAAGAAGUAGGU